RNAcentral lists this transfer RNA (72 nucleotides) under Candidatus Magasanikiibacteriota bacterium. RNAcentral's name for it is "Candidatus Magasanikbacteria bacterium tRNA-Arg". It matches the Rfam family "tRNA". From Rfam's summary of the family: Transfer RNA (tRNA) molecules are approximately 80 nucleotides in length. Their secondary structure includes four short double-helical elements and three loops (D, anti-codon, and T loops). Further hydrogen bonds mediate the characteristic L-shaped molecular structure. tRNAs have two regions of fundamental functional importance: the anti-codon, which is responsible for specific mRNA codon recognition, and the 3' end, to which the tRNAs corresponding amino acid is attached (by aminoacyl-tRNA synthetases). tRNAs cope with the degeneracy of the genetic code in two manners: having more than one tRNA (with a specific anti-codon) for a particular amino acid; and 'wobble' base-pairing, i.e. permitting non-standard base-pairing at the 3rd anti-codon position. The record is from RNAcentral. Lineage: Bacteria; Candidatus Magasanikiibacteriota.
GGCCUCGUAGUUAAACGGAUAGAACAUCGGCCUCCGAAGCCGAAAAUACAGGUUCAAUUCCUGUCGAGGUCA